AUAUCAAGUAUUUUUAAAGAAAUUAAGUUUUUCAAUUCAUGUGACAUUGUAUUUAAUUUUGUGUUAUAUUUUAAAUUCAAGUUUAUUACAGAUUUAAGAUUUUUAAUGGCUUUUGGUAAUACUUUGAAUUUAUUAAACCUAAGUAAAUCUAGUCUCAAUAAUAUAUUGAUUUUAAAUAGUAUUAUUGGUAGUAUUUUAUCUAAUCUAAUUCCUUCUAGAAUCAAUAUUGUUAGUUAUUCAAAUACUUUUUAAAAAUAUUAAUUAGAUAUUAUAGAAGGUAGCUUGAAUUUAUUAUAAAUACCAUAAUAAAAGGAAUUUCUAAAUAACAAAAAAUUUAAGUUUUUUGUAUUAUUUACUCAAUACAUAUAUCUUCACUUGACUUCUAUCAAGGUUACAUAUAAGUAUUUGUAAGGAAUAAAAAUGUAAUCCUUUGAUGAUGAACCUUUAUAGAAUAUUCUUUAUAUUAUUAUCAAAUAUAUAAUCUUUCAAUUAAUCAAAAACAUAACAAAAUAAUACUUAAAAAAUAUAAUCCAUAUUAUUAUCAAAUACUUAAAACAUAGACAAAUUUCAAAGUAUUUUACAUUGUAACAAACAAAAAUAUAAAAUUAUUUAUUAGAGAUAUUAAAAUAUCUUACAAUUUAUUUUAUGUAUUUAUUUUGUGCAUUUAUUUUAUAUCAAUAAUUUUAUUUAAAUUAUUCUAUCACUAUUUGAAAGUAUUACCUUUAUUGUUAAUUCAUAUAUUGGUGCCAAAUUUACAUUCCAAAUUUGUGUGUCAUUAUAUUCUUUUUCUUUUUCAAUAAUGCUCUGAUUUAUAUCUUAUAAUUAAUCAUGUACUUUUAUUAUUCUAUUUUUUUCUAUUUUAUCCAUUUUUAUCAUUGAUUAUAAAUCAAUAUAUCUAAAACAAUACUUGCAUCUUAUUUUUUACCUCUGUUUUUUUAAUUGGUCCUUAUUUGUAAUAUAUUUUCUUUCAUUGUACCACGCCAAAUCAUAUUAUUACAAAAAAAAAAAAAAAAAAAAAAAUGUGUGUAUACAAAUAUACACUUUGCUUCAACUUUUAAGACAUCAAAACUCAUCUUCAAAAUAAUCCAUAGCUUAUGAUUACUAUCUUCUUCAUCUUCAUCUAAAUCUCUU
Molecule: long non-coding RNA, 1131 nt
Filed under: Physcomitrium patens
Lineage: Eukaryota; Viridiplantae; Streptophyta; Bryopsida; Funariales; Funariaceae
Description: long non-coding RNA (PPAT_LNC010297)
Source: RNAcentral